GAUGAACGCUGGCGGCGUGCUUAACACAUGCAAGUCGAACGGAAAGGCUCCUGCUUGCAGGGGUACUCGAGUGGCGAACGGGUGAGUAACACGUGGGUGAUCUGCCCUGCACUUCGGGAUAAGCCUGGGAAACUGGGUCUAAUACCGGAUAGGACGAUGGUUUGGAUGCCAUUGUGGAAAGUUUUUCGGUGUGGGAUGAGCUCGCGGCCUAUCAGCUUGUUGGUGGGGUAAUGGCCUACCAAGGCGUCGACGGGUAGCCGGCCUGAGAGGGUGUACGGCCACAGUGGGACUGAGAUACGGCCCAGACUCCUACGGGAGGCAGCAGUGGGGAAUAUUGCACAAUGGGCGCAAGCCUGAUGCAGCGACGCCGCGUGGGGGAUGACGGCCUUCGGGUUGUAAACUCCUUUCGCUAGGGACGAAGCGCAAGUGACGGUACCUGGAGAAGAAGCACUGGCUAACUACGUG
This 465-nucleotide ribosomal RNA is filed under the name uncultured bacterium. RNAcentral describes it as "partial 16S ribosomal RNA". It matches the Rfam family "Bacterial small subunit ribosomal RNA", at positions 28 to 507 of the family's 1533-position model. The record is from RNAcentral.